UCAUUAAAAUCUUGUUACUGGACCCAUGUUUCAUGGACAACUUCAAAUCUCCCACAUUUGUGCGCUAGGCAACCGCGUUCGUUGGCAGAAAGCGGAAAUUAGCGGCAAAUGGGAAUAUUUUAUGGUACUUACAAAGGACGUACCAAAAAUAUGAAUGUCCUUCACUAAGGAAAAGAAGUAAAAUAUACCUUGGUCAAAGAGCAAUCAAAUGAUUCAAAUCGAGAAGAAAUGCCUAAAUAUUCGUCGACCACUUUUUCGCACUUUGCCACGGAUUUUACCAGGACAGUUUUUGCAAUUUUUCUCAAACAUCCUGUUAACUUUUUGUAACAAUCAAAGCGUCUUCAAGUUAAGUACAGUAUUCUUCUCUCUUCUAAUCUCAAUUACUAAACAAAACCAACUUGUUCAUAUUGGUUUG
Paramacrobiotus metropolitanus is the source of this 415-nucleotide long non-coding RNA. RefSeq lists it as uncharacterized. The transcript has 3 exons. NCBI's taxonomy places the organism in Eukaryota, Metazoa, Tardigrada, Eutardigrada, Parachela, Macrobiotidae. The record is from RefSeq and is a predicted model, not a curated record.